GGCAGCAGCACAAAGAAGAAGCUAGAAGACUGGGGAAAAGCAAAUUCAAUGGCAUCAUUGAAUGCCUCUGAAGAUCAUCUUCCUCAGCAAGAACAAUUACCACAAACGUCUUAUACGGGUGAAGGCAACAGUAGUUUGUAUACAACUUCUGGAGUGAGUUCUGAAGUGGGUUGGUAUGUGCUUGCCCAAGAUCAACAGCAACUAGGCCCGUAUACAAUAUCUGAAUUGCGUGAGCACUACUCUGCUGGAUACCUCCUGGAGAGUACACUAGCAUGGUCGGAAGGAAGGAGUGAAUGGCAACCACUUUGCUCGAUUCCUGGAUUGCUGACUGAUGUAGCUGAGCAGAGCACUGGUGAUACAAAUUCAGUUUCUUUGACUUCUAGUGAUCCAUUUGAUGAGUAUGAAAAGUUUCAAAAGGAAGUGAAAGAGGCAGAGGACGAGCAAGCAGUUGAUGAGGAUCAAAGGCCUUCAACUCCUCCAGAUGGUGAAGAUGAGUUCAUUGAUGAUGACGGAACUAGGUACAAAUGGGAUAAGGCUCUUAGAGUGUGGGUACCUCAGGAAGAUCCAACCGAUAAAACGGACUAUCGUCUAGAAGAUAUGACUUACGCUGAAGAGGAGGAACUUUUCCCUACAUUGCCCGCUGACAUUUCUUCUGGAAAUGAGAACAAGAACAUGGAUAAUACUGAGGCUAAUAAGAAUGCUAUAAAUUCAAUUGAAACUGCCACAGCAACACAUAAUGGCAAGAGGAAACUGACUGAAAAAGAUGAGCCUGAAAAAGCUGCUGAAAAGAAGGAAGCUAAUAAACCUCCAGAUAGCUGGUUCGAAUUAAAAGUCAAUACUCAUGUCUAUAUUACAGGCUUGCCAGAAGACGUCACUGUUGACGAGGUGGUUGAAGUCUUUUCAAAGUGUGGGAUCAUAAAGGAGGAUCCGGAAACACAAAGGCCUCGAGUGAAGAUUUAUUUUGACAAAGAAACUGGAAGGAAGAAAGGUGAUGCACUUGUAACAUAUCUUAAGGAGCCUUCAGUUGAUCUAGCCAUUAAAAUUUUGGAUGGUGCACCUUUACGGCCAGGUGACAAAAUUCCUAUGACAGUUACUCCAGCAAAGUUUGAGCAAAAAGGGGAGAGGUUCAUACCCAAGAAAUCAGACAAGCACAGAAAGAAGAAACUCCAAAAAGUUGAGCAGAAGAUGCUUGGCUGGGGUGGUCGGGAUGACUCAAAGAUAUUGGUUCCAGCUACUGUUUUGCUUCGCUACAUGUUCACACCAGCUGAAUUGCGGGAGGAAGAGAAUUUAUGUUCUGAGCUACAGCAAGACGUCCAAGAGGAAUGUUCAAAGUUUGGUCCAGUGGACUUGGUAAAGGUGUGUGAGAAUCAUCCACAAGGGGUUGUUUUGGUCAAAUUUAAGGAUAGAAAGGAUGCACAUAGGUGCAUUGAGUCGAUGAAUGGACGCUGGUUUGCUGGUAGGCAAAUUCAUGCUAGCGAGGACGAUGGAUCUGUUAACCAUGCUUUAGUCCGAGAUAUAGAUGAAGAAACUGAUAGGUUGGAGAAGUUUGGAGCUGAACUUGAAGCUGAUUCAUAGGUGUGCUUUCUGCAUGUGCAAAUAGUAGCAACACUUAUUUUUGCUUGCUAUACAACCCAUAUGUCUGUGCAACUCUUUGAACACGAAUCCGUUUUCUGAAAGAUUCUGACUGCCAUAUUUUCGUGAGAACUCCAAUGUCUUGCAAAAAGUGUUGAUAGGCGCUGACCUCGUGGCAUGCCAACUAGAUUUGUAAUCGCGAGUAAUGAGUCAUCUCGUUGUUUUCUUUGGAGUACAUGUAACAUGAUCAAUUGGAAUGAGAAAGUAGUCUUUUCUUGGUGAAGUGGAGUAGAACUUUCUCUAGCACUUGAACUUUCGUAACAU
This 1896-nucleotide unclassified non-coding RNA is filed under the name Hevea brasiliensis (rubber tree). Lineage: Eukaryota; Viridiplantae; Streptophyta; Magnoliopsida; Malpighiales; Euphorbiaceae. The record is from RNAcentral.